GGUCCAGACUCCUACGGGAGGCAGCAGUGGGGAAUAUUGCACAAUGGGCGAAAGCCUGAUGCAGCUAUACCGCGUGUAUGAAGAAGGCCUUAGGGUUGUAAAGUACUUUCGUUGGGGAGGAAAAAUAAAUAGAUAAUACCUGUUUAUCGUGACGUUACCCAAAAAAGAAGCACCGGCUAACUCCGUGCCAGCAGCCGCGGUAAUACGGAGGGUGCAAGCGUUAAUCAGAAUUACUGGGCGUAAAGAGCUCGUAGGCGGUUUUUUAAGUCAGAUGUGAAAUCCCUGGGCUUAACCUAGGAACUGCAUUUGAAACUAAAAGACUAGAGUAUCGUAGAGGGAGGUAGAAUUCUAGGUGUAGCGGUGAAAUGCGUAGAUAUCUGGAGGAAUACCUGUGGCGAAAGCGGCCUCCUAAAUGAAUACUGACGCUGAGGUGCGAAAGCAUGGGGAGCAAACAGGAUUAGAUACCCUGGUAGUCCAUGCCGUAAACGAUGUCGACUUGGAGGUUGUUUCCUUGAGAAGUGACUUCCGAAGCUAACGCGUUAAGUCGACCGCCUGGGGAGUACGGUCGCAAGGCUAAAACUCAAAUGAAUUGACGGGGGCCCGCACAAGCGGUGGAGCAUGUGGUUUAAUUCGAUGCAACGCGAAAAACCUUACCUGGUCUUGACAUCCACAGAAUUUUUCAGAGAUGAAAAAGUGCCUUAGGGAACUGUGAGACAGGUGCUGCAUGGCUGUCGUCAGCUCGUGUUGUGAAAUGUUGGGUUAAGUCCCGCAACGAGCGCAACCCUUAUCCUCUGUUGCCAUUGGUUCGGCCAGGAACUCAGAGGAGACUGCCGGUUAUAAACCGGAGGAAGGCGGGGACGACGUCAAGUCAUCAUGGCCCUUACGACCAGGGCUACACACGUGCUACAAUGGUGUAUACAAAGAGAAGCAACUCUGCAAAGACAAGCAAACCUCAUAAAGUACAUCGUAGUCCGGACUGGAGUCUGCAACUCGACUCCACAAUCCGGGAAA
Molecule: ribosomal RNA, 1011 nt
Filed under: Buchnera aphidicola (Prociphilus erigeronensis)
Lineage: Bacteria; Pseudomonadati; Pseudomonadota; Gammaproteobacteria; Enterobacterales; Erwiniaceae
Description: bacterial SSU rRNA
Rfam family: Bacterial small subunit ribosomal RNA
Source: RNAcentral